GGAUCCAUAGCUUAGUGGUAGAGUAUUUGACUGCAGAUCAAGAGGUCACCGAUUUGAAUCCGGUUGGUCCCU
This is a non-coding RNA of Vigna angularis (adzuki bean), 72 nucleotides long. The record is from Rfam. Lineage: Eukaryota; Viridiplantae; Streptophyta; Magnoliopsida; Fabales; Fabaceae.